RNAcentral lists this transfer RNA (62 nucleotides) under Tigriopus kingsejongensis. RNAcentral describes it as "tRNA-Trp". It matches the Rfam family "tRNA". Rfam says of the family: Transfer RNA (tRNA) molecules are approximately 80 nucleotides in length. Their secondary structure includes four short double-helical elements and three loops (D, anti-codon, and T loops). The record is from RNAcentral. Lineage: Eukaryota; Metazoa; Arthropoda; Copepoda; Harpacticoida; Harpacticidae.
AAUAAUUUAGGCUAAGGCAAGCCGCAGGUCUUCAAAUCCUGAAAUGUGUUACACAGUUGUUA